AUUGAACGCUGGCGGCAGGCCUAACACAUGCAAGUCGAGCGGAUGAGAGGAGCUUGCUCUUCGAUUCAGCGGCGGACGGGUGAGUAAUGCCUAGGAAUCUGCCUAGUAGUGGGGGACAACGUUUCGAAAGGAACGCUAAUACCGCAUACGUCCUACGGGAGAAAGUGGGGGAUCUUCGGACCUCACGCUAUUAGAUGAGCCUAGGUCGGAUUAGCUAGUUGGUAGGGUAACGGCCUACCAAGGCGACAAUCCGUAACUGGUCUGAGAGGACGAUCAGUCACACUGGAACUGAGACACGGUCCAGACUCCUACGGGAGGCAGCAGUGGGGAAUAUUGGACAAUGGGCGAAAGCCUGAUCCAGCCAUGCCGCGUGUGUGAAGAAGGCCCUCGGGUCGUAAAGCACUUUAAGUUGGGAGGAAGGGCUUACAGCGAAUACCUGUGAGUUUUGACGUUACCGACAGAAUAAGCACCGGCUAACUUCGUGCCAGCAGCCGCGUAA
Molecule: ribosomal RNA, 499 nt
Filed under: uncultured bacterium
Lineage: Bacteria
Description: partial 16S ribosomal RNA
Rfam family: Bacterial small subunit ribosomal RNA
Source: RNAcentral